Molecule: RNA transcript, 1408 nt
Organism: Benincasa hispida (wax gourd)
Lineage: Eukaryota; Viridiplantae; Streptophyta; Magnoliopsida; Cucurbitales; Cucurbitaceae
Gene name: Peptidyl-tRNA hydrolase II (PTH2) family protein
Source: RefSeq, a predicted model, not a curated record
CCCUCAGUUGCUGAUGUGCUGAUUGAAUUGAAUCUCCCAUUUUUGCCAGUCGAGCUUCACGAGUUCAGGCAAAAACACCCACGAGAUAAGAUUGGUAUUGAAACAGUACAGCCGCGCUUUACCCACUAAUUCUUUCCCACUCUCUGCUUUUCUAAGAAGCUCAUGUUGGGUUCUUCUAAUUCUUCCAGAAAGAAGCAGCAACUGAAGUCAGAAAAAGAAUGGCUGUCGGUGAGUUUCAGACCCGAAAACUUCAUUCCAGGCCUCGUAAUUGGUUUCAUUCUUGGGUUGUUUUUGGAUUUGUCAAAACCCAGUAGAGGCAAUGCUAAGAAGGGUUAUUUCCUGCCGUCAAAGUACCAACAGCUAUCUCCUUCAAACAACGGUGAUCAAGAGCUCAAGUUGGUCCUUGUUGUUAGGCAAGAUCUGAAGAUGGGUUCUGGAAAAAUUGCAUCUCAAUGUGCUCAUGCUGCUACUGGCUUGUAUGCAGAACUAAUGCAAAGCCACCGAAACCUUUUGAGACAGUGGGAGCUAUGUGGGCAGCCAAAAAUAGUUGUAACAUGCAAGAACCAGCAAGAAAUGAAUAAACUAAAGGAUGCAGCUGAGAACAUUGGCCUUCCUACUUUUGUUGUUGCUGAUGCUGGACGCACACAGGUACAAACUUUGUUCUGCACUCACCUACUCGGAUGACUUUAGAAGCAUUUUGAUUAAUGCAUGAGAAAUGGUGGGGUAACUAACUGGGUAACAGAUAUCAGAAAGUCAAGGUUAUGAGGUCUCCAAAGUGCAAAGAAUAGCUAUUGGUCGUUCAGUAUUGUAUAUAAUGGCUGCAAAACCCUUGGUUUGUAGUUGAUGGAAAGAAUCACUUGGCUCUUUGAAGAGCGAAUCUUUCCUAGUCCAAAUUUGUAUGCUAUCAUUUUGACUAUGGAGCACAUAUGCUUCAUGUGAGGUUUCGGCUGGAUCGAAGACUGUUCUUGCCAUUGGACCUGGGCCAAAGGAGGCCAUUGAUGCGGUAACUGGGAAACUCCGCCUACUCUAGCCGGGUUGGAACCGGACAUGUAUUUGAAACGUAAAUGAUGAGUCGGCAUUUUUAUCCUCCAGCAUUCAACUUCUUGAGAGGGGUUCGUGCACAUGGUGAACAAGUUACAGCUGCUGGAAAUGAAGAAAUGCUGUACGUUGGUAUUGUUAUGCCUGAAACAUUGCUUAGCUAUUGCUGUUAGCUGCUUGUAGUUUGGGGAUGUAGGAGUAACAUUUGAGCUGACAUGUUCAAAAGAUGUAACCUUGGAUGUUGAAGAAUGUUUUAAGUGACUAGAGUCUAUGGACAACUUUUCAAAACGUUUGUAUGACUCACUGUAGGUGGAUGACUGGCAACUGUGGUAGUUUAAUUUUAUUGGUAGUUGAUAAUUUAUUAAGCAAA